GGGUGAGUAAUGCAUCGGAACGUACCUUUCAGUGGGGGAUAACGUAGCGAAAGUUACGCUAAUACCGCAUAUUCUGUGAGCAGGAAAGCAGGGGAUCGCAAGACCUUGCGCUGAUGGAGCGGCCGAUGUCAGAUUAGCUAGUUGGUGGGGUAAAGGCUCACCAAGGCGACGAUCUGGAGCGGGUCUUAGAGGAUGAUCCGCCACACUGGAACUGAGACACGGUCCAGACUCCUACGGGAGGCAGCAGUGGGGAAUUUUGGACAAUGGGCGCAAGCCUGAUCCAGCCAUGCCGCGUGAGUGAAGAAGGCCUUCGGGUUGUAAAGCUCUUUCGGCCGGGAAAAAAUCGCUUGGGUUAAUACCCUGAGUGGAUGAUGGUACCGGAAUAAGAAGCACCGGGUAACUACGUGCCAGCAGCCGCGGUAAUACGUAGGGUGCGAGCGUUAAUCGGAAUUACUGGGCGUAAAGCGUGCGCAGGCGGUUUUGUAAGACAGGCGUGAAAUCCCCGGGCUCAACCUGGGAACUGCGUUUGUGACUGCAAGGCUAGAGUAUGGCAGAGGGGGGUGGAAUUCCACGUGUAGCAGUGAAAUGCGUAGAGAUGUGGAGGAACACCAAUGGCGAAGGCAGCCCCCUGGGCCAAUACUGACGCUCGUGCACGAAAGCGUGGGGAGCAAACAGGAUUAGAUACCCUGGUAGUCCACGCCCUAAACGAUGUCAACUAGGUGUUGGGUGGGUAAAACCAUUUGGUACCGUAGCUAACGCGUGAAGUUGACCGCCUGGGGAGUACGGCCGCAAGGUUAAAACUCAAAGGAAUUGACGGGGACCCGCACAAGCGGUGGAUGAUGUGGAUUAAUUCGAUGCAACGCGAAAAACCUUACCUACCCUUGACAUGCCAAGAACUUGCCAGAGAUGGCUUGGUGCCCGAAAGGGAGCCUGGACACAGGUGCUGCAUGGCUGUCGUCAGCUCGUGUCGUGAGAUGUUGGGUUAAGUCCCGCAACGAGCGCAACCCUUGUCGUUAAUUGCCAUCAUUUAGUUGGGCACUUUAACGAGGCUGCCGGUGACAAACCGGAGGAAGGUGGGGAUGACGUCAAGUCCUCAUGGCCCUUAUGGGUAGGGCUUCACACGUCAUACAAUGGUCGGUACAAAGGGUUGCCAAGCCGCGAGGCGGAGCCAAUCCCAGAAAGCCGAUCGUAGUCCGGAUCGCAGGCUGCAACUCGCCUGCGUGAAGUCGGAAUCGCUAGUAAUCGUGGAUCAGCAUGUCACGGUGAAUACGUUCCCGGGUCUUGUACACACCGCCCGUCACACCAUGGGAGCGGGUUCCGCCAGAAGUAGGUAGCCUAAG
This 1340-nucleotide ribosomal RNA is filed under the name metagenome. Its description in RNAcentral is "bacterial SSU rRNA". It matches the Rfam family "Bacterial small subunit ribosomal RNA", at positions 104 to 1439 of the family's 1533-position model. The record is from RNAcentral.